AUCCCCAGUCGAGCGGCGAACGGGUGAGUAACGCGUGGAUGACCUGCCCUUCAGCGGGGAAUAACCCGGGGAAACUCGGGCUAAUACCGCAUACGACCGAGAGGUGAAAGGGGGCCGCAAGGCUCACACUGAAGGAGGGGUCCGCGUUCGAUUAGCUAGUGGGUAGGGUAAAGGCCUACCAAGGCGACGAUCGAUAGCCGGCCUGAGAGGGUGAUCGGCCACACUGGAACUGAGACACGGUCCAGACUCCUACGGGAGGCAGCAGUGGGGAAUUUUGCGCAAUGGGCUAACGCCUGACGCAGCAACGCCGCGUGGAGGAUGAAGGUCUUUGGAUUGUAAACUCCUGUCAGCAGGGAAAAAGGGAAGUGACCUAAUACGUCAUUGACUUGAUUGUACCUGCAGAGGAAGCCCCGGCUAACUCUGUGCCAGCAGCCGCGGUAAUACAGAGGGGGCAAGCGUUA
Molecule: ribosomal RNA, 461 nt
Filed under: uncultured bacterium
Lineage: Bacteria
Description: bacterial SSU rRNA
Rfam family: Bacterial small subunit ribosomal RNA
Source: RNAcentral